This 372-nucleotide unclassified non-coding RNA is filed under the name Anneissia japonica. RNAcentral's name for it is "uncharacterized LOC117113897, transcript variant X1". The record is from RNAcentral. Lineage: Eukaryota; Metazoa; Echinodermata; Crinoidea; Comatulida; Comatulidae.
CUUUGUUUAGCAAACGGUUGAAACUUGACACAACCAGAAGGAAACAGAAUGUUCGAGACAAUGACAGGAAUGGGAGCGACAGACGCAGCGCCAAUGAUGUUGACCAUUCUGCGGUUAUAUGUGAAGUUUCCCCACUGCUCUCUUAUGCAGGAGAGGGGUUGGAGCACAUUGUUAGUAACAAGCGAUUCCAGUCACCUUUGCUACUCACAGAAAAACAUAAAAUGAAUAAAGAAAUUGAGAUUAACUAAGCAAACCCUAUAAUAACCGAAAGGUCCACAGAUUAAUCUCGCAUAAGAAAGUAUAAUACAUACUCCAAGUAUUGAAAUACAUGCCAUCGUGUUGAGAUACACGAUGGCGUGUAUUUCAAUACUU